UAAGGUCUAUGACGGGAGGUAC
RNAcentral lists this non-coding RNA (22 nucleotides) under Arabidopsis thaliana (thale cress). The record is from RNAcentral. Lineage: Eukaryota; Viridiplantae; Streptophyta; Magnoliopsida; Brassicales; Brassicaceae.